GCGGCCCGGCGCGGUGUUUACCCGCGGUGCAUGGUGGGGCGGUCUCCUUCGGCAACCCCGGCCGAACGGCCACCCAGAGGCUGUGCUGAGCUGGCGCAGCGGCAGCAGCAUGAGCCGGACCCUCGCAUCGGCCGUGCCCCUGUCGAGUCCCGACUACUACGAGAGGCUGGGCCAACUCCAGCACGGGCUGCGGGACAGUGAAAAGAAGAGAUUGGACCUGGAAAAGAAACUUUAUGAAUAUAAUCAGUCUGAUACAUGCAGCUCGAAUAUGAGACUCAAAUUAAGAAGAUGCUAUGCUCAAAAGAUAGCCUGGGACUAAAAGAGGAACUGACAGAUGAAGACAGAGAAAAGGUUGCAGUGCACGAGGGGAUUAACUCAGGAACAGCCAUGUCAAGAGGAUUGUAUCAACCAGCAACAAUCUUUAUGGGCCGCCAAAUGUCAGCCAUCUUAAGCAUGAGAGAUUUCAGUACAGAGCACAAAUCUCCCCAGCCCACAAAGAACUUUUCAAUUCCUGACCCACAUUCACACCGACAGACAGCCCAGAGCAGUAAUGUGACAGACAGCUGUGUAGUACAAACUAGUAAUGACACACAGUGCUUAAAUAAGUCUGACAACAUAGAUGGAAAGGCAUCUCUUCAGAUUGGUGAGAAAAUGCCAGUCACAGCCAGUGUAUUGUCUGAGGAGGAACAAACUCAUUGCUUGGAGAUAGGAAGUAACACACGUCAUGGCAAGAGUAAUUUAUCUGAAGGCAAAAAGUCUGCUGAACUCAAUUCCCCGUUACGGGAAAGAUUAAGUCCAGAGAACAGAACCACUGAUUUAAAGUGUGACAGUUCCAGCGGAUCAGAGGGAGAAAUACUGACACGGGAACAUAUUGAAGUUGAGGAAAAAAGAGCCAGCCCGCCAGUCUCUCCGAUACCAGUUUCAGAAUACUGUGAAUCUGAAAAUAAGUGGUCUCAAGAGAAGCAUUCUCCUUGGGAAGGUGUUUCAG
This 988-nucleotide long non-coding RNA is filed under the name Homo sapiens (human). RNAcentral's name for it is "long non-coding RNA NONHSAT147157.2". Lineage: Eukaryota; Metazoa; Chordata; Mammalia; Primates; Hominidae. The record is from RNAcentral.